UUUUUUUUGCAGAAACAAGAAAUGAUAACGCUUUAAAUACCCAAACACUACACCAGACUCCUAAAGCAAAGCACAAAGUGCAGCAUUUAGAGCUGCUGUGUGCAUCAUGCCAUCCAGAACUGAAGCCCGGAAAAUGCCUCUACAAAUUAUAAUGUGGUUAUAAUGUAACGCUAUAGCCUAUAAUAGAAAGCAUCGUACUGUAGCCAACAUUAAAAGGUAUGUUACUGUAACAUCAUCAAGGAAAGAAAACCUGGAGAGUGUGGAGGCUCCAUCAACUUCCAGAUAGUAAAAGAAAACUCAUGUGAACCUGUGC
Paramisgurnus dabryanus is the source of this 313-nucleotide non-coding RNA. The record is from RefSeq and is a predicted model, not a curated record. NCBI's taxonomy places the organism in Eukaryota, Metazoa, Chordata, Actinopteri, Cypriniformes, Cobitidae.